CUCAAACCUCGUUCGCGCCAUUCCUCGCAGCUCCUGUUCUCUCUCGCUCCAGUUCCGCUUCCAACGCCUCCUCUUCAUCUUCAUCUUCAUCUUCGUCGGAAUUGAACAUCACAUUCGCGCCCCCAAACUCUUGGCCCAAAUCCGAAGUUGAAGAUCCUUUUCAGUUCAUUGAUCGAAACACCGGUGGUCAGCUCAUCAUUCUUUGGAUAGUUCGCGGCGGAGAUGGCACUCUCAAGCUCCAAUAGCAUUCGCCUACACGGUUUCUUCAAUCCAUGUCGGAGGAUGAAACCUAGCCCAAGAAGAAGAAGAAGAAUUCUGCUGAUAAACGCGUACUGAGCCCCCAAGCAUUCGAAGGCUGCGCGUAGACUUUACAAUGAGAAUAUUAGGGAUUCGUUACAACGUCUCGUAAAGUUCUUGCUGCCGCUGGAGGUUUGUGCUUCUUACUCUUGAUAAGUUUUUUAAGUGUAUCUACCGAUCUUCCGAUGGUUGUUUGGUCAAAAUGCUAAUUAUGGCUUAUAGCUCGGCGUGUUCUGUUCCACAGCAUUCUUUUGUGCUUGUUAUUUACUCUUUACUUGUUUCUGUUUUGUGCUUGGUGUGGUGAUAGGAUGAGGAUUGUUGGUGGGGAGUCUUGCCUCGGCUAAUUCAUAGGUUUAUAACAAUAGAUGGUGCCUUUAGUAACCAGAACCUGAUAGCAAUUAGUGAGGCAACAAUAAUUGAUGGCUUCCAUUGCAUAUCAACCACUUAUUACUCAAAGGAGCACUUACAAGAAUCAAGGAAGAACCAUGAAGUUCGGGAACUUGUAAAAGCUGCUGGUCUAGAGAUUCCAGCUUUGCACCGACUACAAAAUUCCCAUCCGUUGUCACCAAAAUGAAGCAACAAAAAACAAACGGACAGCAGAGCCUCUCUUGUUAUACAGUACCACCAGAAUCGUCCUUCAGACUGACAAAAUGGAUAUCAUUCAACUGGAUAUUGAUACCAUCCAUUAACUCAAAACUCCAACAGACAUGCCAUGAAUCCUCUUGAAACAGGAGUGCAUUAGAGAACGCGAAUACAGAUGGUGCAUGGUUGUCAUCAACUCGUAUCGUAAGGUGUUGGGUUAAGUCUCGCAACAAGUGCAACUCUCAUGUUUAGUUGCCAACGGUUGAGGUUAGAACCCUGAGUAAACUACUGAUAAGCCGGAGAAAGGUGAGGAUGACGUCAAGAAUAAUUUUAGUCGAACAAAACGAGUAUCUCUAUAUAUGUAUUAACAAAAUUAUUAUUAUUAUUACGAUCGGCUGUAAAAAGUCAUUAAAUCUCUCCAAUAAACUUAUAACUUAUUGAGGAAUAAUUCAUCUCAAGUUGGUUAUGAGCAUAAAUAUUUCAAUAAAUGUCAAACAAUAAUUU
Molecule: non-coding RNA, 1383 nt
Organism: Cucurbita pepo subsp. pepo (vegetable marrow)
Lineage: Eukaryota; Viridiplantae; Streptophyta; Magnoliopsida; Cucurbitales; Cucurbitaceae
Source: RefSeq, a predicted model, not a curated record